Molecule: ribosomal RNA, 530 nt
Filed under: Cantharellus avellaneus
Lineage: Eukaryota; Fungi; Basidiomycota; Agaricomycetes; Cantharellales; Hydnaceae
Description: partial 12S ribosomal RNA
Rfam family: Bacterial small subunit ribosomal RNA
Source: RNAcentral
GCAGUCCAAAAUAUUAGUCAAUGCUCGCAAGAGUGAACGAGCUAACUGAAAGAAUAUACAAUCUAAAGUUAGGAAUCUUAUAAAUAAAAUUAUAAGAUUAAAUACGAAUCUAACUAACAGUGUCGUCCAAAUUCUGGUGCCAGAAGACUCGGUAAUACCAGAGACGCGAACGUUAAUCAUCUUGAAUGGGCAUAAAGGGUUUGUAGGCGGCUUAUUUAUUAAUAGGCUAGAAUCUUAUAGAGGUUAAUAAAAUACUUAGAGGAGGGCUGAUAUCCUUAGAUCCUAAGUGGAAUCCUAAUUGCGAAGGCCAUUUUCCACUACAGAUUGACGCUGAGACACGAAGGUUAGGAUAGGAACUAGGAUUAGAGACCCUAUUACCCCUAACUGUAAACGAUGAAUGGAAGAUAUUUACAACUGUAAGUGUCGAAGUGAAUACGAUAACCAUUCCGCCUUGCCAGUAUACUUGCAAAAGUGAAAACAAAAAAAUUAGUCGGUCCUAAAGCAAACGAAGUGAAGCAUGUUAUUUAAUU